Molecule: long non-coding RNA, 498 nt
Organism: Labeo rohita (rohu)
Lineage: Eukaryota; Metazoa; Chordata; Actinopteri; Cypriniformes; Cyprinidae
Exons: 3
Source: RefSeq, a predicted model, not a curated record
UCAAGGGGACUUUUUUGAUCAAAACGUUUCAGCGGACAAAAAGGAAUCCCUAAGUAAGCGAACUUCUGAGUCGGUUCGCGAUUGAAUCAUUCGGAGAGUCACUCACGGAGAGUCGUUUGAGGAGUUUUUAUCAGUACCUUGAUGCUUUAGAAUGCUGAGAACAACUUAAUCGCUGGACAAAGUGGAAGAUUUGCCUGCAAACACCUACAAUAAACGUGCAAAAGCAUCCAGUCGUUUGUCAGUGAUGAAGAAAGACUUUAUUGAGUUGAAACACGUGAACGAGUCACUGCAGGAUGACCCGCUGCUGACCUGAGCCAGUGUGAGAGUGUUUGAGGUCAGAGGUCAGGACUGGCAUUUGCCCUUUUAGAUUCAAGUUCCCUGGAUGUCCAGAUAUUCCCACAUAUUGCAUCGCUGUGCGUUUACAAAACCUGGAACUUCCACGACGUGGUCUGAUCUUUGUAAUCCAGACAGUCUGAGCUGAAGUUGAGCCUCCACGAA